AGUGAACGCUGGCGGUAGGCCUAACACAUGCAAGUCGAACGGCAGCACAGUAAUAGCUUGCUCUUACGGGUGGCGAGUGGCGGACGGGUGAGGAAUACAUCGGAAUCUACGUGUUCGUGGGGGAUAAUGUAGGGAAACUUACGCUAAUACCGCAUACGACGUACGUGUGAAAGCAGGGGAUCUUCGGACCUUGCGCGAUUGAAUGAGCCGAUGUCGGAUUAGCUAGUUGGCGGGGUAAAGGCCCACCAAGGCGACGAUCCGUAGCUGGUCUGAGAGGAUGAUCAGUCACACUGGAACUGAGACACGGUCCAGACUCCUACGGGAGGCAGCAGUGGGGAAUAUUGGACAAUGGGCGAAAGCCUGAUCCAGCCAUACCGCGUGUGUGAAGAAGGCCUUCGGAUUGUAAAGCACUUUUGUUGGGAAAGAAAAGCAGCAGGUUAAUACCUCGCUGUUCUGACGGUACCAAAAGAAUAAGCACCGGCUAACUUCGUG
This 492-nucleotide ribosomal RNA is filed under the name uncultured bacterium. RNAcentral describes it as "partial 16S ribosomal RNA". It matches the Rfam family "Bacterial small subunit ribosomal RNA", at positions 29 to 507 of the family's 1533-position model. The record is from RNAcentral.